Molecule: long non-coding RNA, 789 nt
Organism: Pecten maximus
Lineage: Eukaryota; Metazoa; Mollusca; Bivalvia; Pectinida; Pectinidae
Exons: 3
Source: RefSeq, a predicted model, not a curated record
GAUGUGAAUCACAUCGGGGCUUGCUACACUAUCGGCAAUGGGAGGGAGUUCAUACCCUGCCGGAGAGCAGUGUAGGCAGGGUAUGAAUAUUCGUUCUACCCGAGUCCGACCACAACCCCGAGAUCUAAUACACCAUCGAGGACCUCGAGACUGACGACCACCACCCCGAGGUUGACAUCAUCGAGGAUCCCGAGUCCGACGAGCACAACCCCGAGGCUGAUUACAACACCGCGUAGAUUGCUGACCACCAGAAAACCCUUUCCCAGGUACAGAUCGUAUACCAGCACCCAGUCAACAGAACCCCAAACAACCGAGAACGACCGUCCCACGUCAUCUGUGUCCACAGCCAUCUGGUCAUCGUCCAGUACACAGAGUCCGAUCGCGAGUGAAGCCGACGGUAGCGUCCUGGUGAUUGUCGUUGUGAGUUCCGUGGUCGUCCUCAUGAUUCUACUUGUAGCUGUAUACCUGAUCAAGAGAAGAAAGAAGGAGCAGAAUUCGACCGAUAUUCCUAUGGACUCGUUAGCGAGCUCGCUUUCCGGACUGACUCUAGACUGUGGUUUUGAAGAAGUGAAUUUAUACACUCACUCGUCAACGCGAAGGCGAAAGUCAAAAGACGAGUAGCCAAGAGAUGUUUUUGAACUGAAAAAAGAUACGCGACAUCAUUAAUGUGAAGUAGAUAAUAGGUCUUAGUUCGUGUGAUGUAUUAGUAAAAUGUUGUUUUUGUACGAAAUGUAUGUAUGUAUGUAUGUAUGUAUGUAUGUAUGUAUGUAUGUAUGUAUGUAUGUAUGU